CAGUAGCCGCGGUAAUACGUAGGUGGCGAGCGUUGUCCGGAAUCAUUGGGCGUAAAGGGAGCGCAGGCGGGCAUGUAAGUCUUUCUUAAAAGUGCGGGGCUCAACCCCGUGACGGGAAAGAAACUAUGUGUCUUGAGUACAGGAGAGGAAAGCGGAAUUCCCAGUGUAGCGGUGAAAUGCGUAGAUAUUGGGAGGAACACCAGUGGCGAAGGCGGCUUUCUGGACUGCAACUGACGCUGAGGCUCGAAAGCCAGGGGAGCGAACGGGAUUAGAUACCCCCGUAGUCCCUGUCUCUUAUACA
RNAcentral lists this ribosomal RNA (301 nucleotides) under uncultured bacterium. RNAcentral describes it as "partial 16S ribosomal RNA". It matches the Rfam family "Bacterial small subunit ribosomal RNA", at positions 509 to 809 of the family's 1533-position model. The record is from RNAcentral.